UACUGUGAUGACAGCAAAGGCUGGACCACAUUCCUGCCCCUUACUUGAUGUGUGAUGCUGAAAUCCUUUCUUACCCUCUGUCAGCUUGCCCUUAGUUAUCUGUAAAAGGAGACUUACUACGUCUUCCUUACAUAACUAGUCUAUGGUGUAAAUAAGAAAUCCUGUACAGCAUAUAUGUCACCUAGUAGGACAUCAACAAAUGCUUAUACUGACCCACUUUUCACCUCCCUCCUAGAGAAGUGAUGACUGUUACCUAAGCCAAACAGCACAAUUGCCAUAGAGUCUACCUGGAAACAUACCAAGCAGUAAGAAGUUAAACCUACUCACAUUUGCAUUAUGAAUGAAGCUUUGGGAACCAUUCCAGUGUUGCAGGAGGGCUUUGCUGAGGGAUCAGGGAAAAGGGAAGGAGAUAAUUAAAACAUUUCCUUUAAUCCCCUGUCAUUUUCUGCCCCCUUGUUUGAUCUUCUAGAUUGAUACUGGAAAAGCAGUUUCUAUUGAGCCCCCAAAUGAAGAGUGAGUGCAGAUGAAGAGGAGGCAGGACUCACAAGCCCUUGAACUUUAUUCCAGAUCUGUUAGCACCUACAGGACCCUGCACCAGGAUUUCAUCUGUACUAUCAGCUUCUUCAAAGAGAGAGAGGUUGUUGAAAUAUUUUCAGUCCAAGAUUGGUUGCAUUCAUGUAUGCAGAAUCCACAGAUACAAAAGGUCAACUGUACUUAUUUAUUUAAUUCUCACCACAACCUAUGAGAAGGAUCUAUUGUUGCCUGACUUUAGAAAAAAGGAAACUGAGGUACAGUGAAGACAGAGUUAGCAAGUGCCAAGGCUUAGAUGUGAACACAGGCUGUGUGGCUCCUGAGUAAAUUCAUCUAUCCAGUGUGUGCUGCUGCCUCUCAAAUGAUGAGAAAAAUCUUGCUUUUUCAGGCCGGGCACAGUGGCUCACGCCUGUAAUCCCAGUUACAGGGAUCACCUCGUGAUCUCAGUGAUAGAUAACACCAGGUAAGCAAAGUGUGGAGUUUGCCUAAUGGCUCCUGGACUGUUUGGUAUAUUAAUAUAUUACAGGAAAGCUGGGCACAGUGGCUCACGCCUGUAAUCCCAGCACAUUGGGAGGCCUAGGCGGGCGGAACACUUGAGGUCAGGAGUUUGAGACCAGCCUGCCAACAUGGCAAAACCCUGUCUCUACUGAAAAUAUAAAAAGUAGCCAGGCAUGGUGACGCACGCCUGUAAUCCCAGCUGCUUCUCAGGUGCUGAGGCAGGAGAAUUGCUUGAACCUGGGAGGCGGAGGUUGCAGUGAGCCAAGAUUGCACCACUGCACUCCAGCCUGGGCAACAGAGCAAUACUCCAUCUAAAAAAAAAGAAGAAGAAAAA
Molecule: long non-coding RNA, 1363 nt
Filed under: Homo sapiens (human)
Lineage: Eukaryota; Metazoa; Chordata; Mammalia; Primates; Hominidae
Description: long intergenic non-protein coding RNA 630
Source: RNAcentral